CUAGUCUUCGGCUUGUUUAUAUUUUCGGAAGAAAUUGCGGCAUCAAGUUUUCAUGGCUACCCAGCCCCCGAAGUUGCCGUCACGGCUGCCAAGACAGUGCAAUUCUAUAUAACUGGAGAAAUAACCGAGCAAAGAAAACUAGAAUCAACAAUAAGAUAUGUUGGUUCUCUAUCAGGGAUUAUGUUGAAAGUUUGGUUCCAAUAUGUCGAAGGUCUGCAAUCUUAACUUCAAGAAAAUCCAACAUUAUCGAUGGAACAUUGUAGGAUGAAAGAGCCAUCUUGGAGCUAUACAUUCUCUUCUGUUUUAGUGUUUGUUUUGAUCAAAAUAUUGACGGCCUUCUUGAUGUCAUUUGUUUAUACCAUGUUCAUCAGCUAUUGAAAAGAACAAGUUCAGUGGUGUUUUGCAGCAAGGAACACUAAUGUUACAUCUCAAACAAAUUGUUUUAUAGGAAUUACCAACCUAUUUAUCUGAAAUCUUCUUGGCUAGGAGAUUCG
This is a long non-coding RNA of Vicia villosa (hairy vetch), 494 nucleotides long. RefSeq lists it as uncharacterized. The record is from RefSeq and is a predicted model, not a curated record. The transcript has 3 exons. NCBI's taxonomy places the organism in Eukaryota, Viridiplantae, Streptophyta, Magnoliopsida, Fabales, Fabaceae.